This 493-nucleotide ribosomal RNA is filed under the name uncultured bacterium. RNAcentral describes it as "bacterial SSU rRNA". It matches the Rfam family "Bacterial small subunit ribosomal RNA", at positions 28 to 524 of the family's 1533-position model. The record is from RNAcentral.
GAUGAACGCUAGCGGAAGGCUUAAUACAUGCAAGUCGAGCGGUAGGUGGCUUCGGCCAUUGAGAGCGGCGCACGGGUGAGUAACGCGUACAUGACCUGCCUGUCAGAAGGGGAUAGCCCUGGGAAACUGGGAUUAAUACCCUAUGGUAUUGAUAUUAUGAAUGAUAUCAAUUAAAGUUGAGGCGCUGACAGAUGGAUGUGCGUCUGAUUAGCUAGUUGGUAGGGUAACGGCCUACCAAGGCGACGAUCAGUAGGGGGCGUGAGAGCGUGGUCCCCCACACGGGUACUGAGACACGGACCCGACUCCUACGGGAGGCAGCAGUAAGGAAUAUUGGUCAAUGCCCGCAAGGGUGAACCAGCCAUUCCGCGUGGAGGAUGAAGGCCCUAUGGGGUUGUAAACUUCUUUUAGAUGGGAAGAAAUGCUAGAUGUAUCUGGUACUGACGGUACCAUCAGAAUAAGCACCGGCUAACUCCGUGCCAGCAGCCGCGGUAAU